UGGGGAAUUUUGGACAAUGGGCGAAAGCCUGAUCCAGCAAUGCCGCGUGUGUGAAGAAGGCCUUCGGGUUGUAAAGCACUUUUGUCCGGAAAGAAAUCCUUGGCUCUAAUACAGUCGGGGGAUGACGGUACCGGAAGAAUAAGCACCGGCUAACUACGUGCCAGCAGCCGCGGUAAUACGUAGGGUGCAAGCGUUAAUCGGAAUUACUGGGCGUAAAGCGUGCGCAGGCGGUUUGCUAAGACCGAUGUGAAAUCCCCGGGCUCAACCUGGGAACUGCAUUGGUGACUGGCAGGCUAGAGUAUGGCAGAGGGGGGUAGAAUUCCACGUGUAGCAGUGAAAUGCGUAGAGAUGUGGAGGAAUACCGAUGGCGAAGGCAGCCCCCCUGGGCCAAUACUGACGCUCAUGCACGAAAGCGUGGGGGAGCAAAACAGGAUUAGAUACCCUGGUAGUCCACGCCCUAAAACGAUGUCAACUGUUGUUGGGGAUUCAUUUCCUUAGUAACGUAGCUAACGCGUGAAGUUGACCGCCUGGGGAGUACGUCGCAAGAUUAAAACUCAAAUGAAUUGACGGGGU
Molecule: ribosomal RNA, 573 nt
Filed under: uncultured bacterium
Lineage: Bacteria
Description: partial 16S ribosomal RNA
Rfam family: Bacterial small subunit ribosomal RNA
Source: RNAcentral